CCUACGGGUGGCAGCAGUGAGGAAUAUUGGUCAAUGGACGAGAGUCUGAACCAGCCAAGUAGCGUGAAGGAUGACUGCCCUAUGGGUUGUAAACUUCUUUUAUAUGGGAAUAAAACUGGGUAUUCAUACCCUCUUGUAUGUACCAUAUGAAUAAGGAUAGGCUAACGUCGUGCCAGCAGCCGCGGUACUACGGAGGAUCCGAGCGUUAUCCGGAUUUAUUGGGCGUAAAGGGAGCGUAGGUGGAUGGUUAAGUCAGUUGUGAAAGUUUGCGGCUCAACCGUACAAUUGCAGUUGAAACUGGCAGUCUUGAGUACAGUAGAGGUGGGCAGAAUUCGUGGUGUAGCGGUGAAAUGCUUAGAUAUCACGAAGAACUCCGAUUGCGAAGGCAGCUCACUGGACUGCGACUGACACUGAUGCUCGAAAGUGUGGGUAUCAAACAGGAGUAGAUACCCGAGUAGUC
RNAcentral lists this ribosomal RNA (460 nucleotides) under uncultured bacterium. RNAcentral's name for it is "partial 16S ribosomal RNA". It matches the Rfam family "Bacterial small subunit ribosomal RNA", at positions 338 to 795 of the family's 1533-position model. The record is from RNAcentral.